CCUACGGGAGGCAGCAGUAGGGAAUUUUCGGCAAUGGGGGUAACCCUGACCGAGCAACGCCGCGUGAACGAAGAAGUUAUUCGUAAUGUAAAGCUCUUUUAACAGGGAAGAAAGAGAAAUCUUACGGUAACUGAAGAAUAACCUCCGUCUAAAUACGUGCCAGCAGCCGCGGUACUGCGUAGGGAGGGAGCGGUAUCCGAAUGUAUUCGGCGUAAAGGGUGCGUAGAUGGCAUAGUAAGUUUUUUGUAAAAAUGCUGGGCUAAACCAGGUAGGGCAAAAGAUACUGCAAAGCUAGAGUAUGAGAGAGGCAAGUGGAACUACAGGUGUAGCGGUAAAAUGCGUAAAUAUAAGUAAGAACACCAGUGGCGAAGGCGGCUUGCUGGGUCGAUACUGACAUUGAGGCACGAAAGCGUGGGGAGCAAACAGGAUUAGAUACCCUGGUAGUC
This 446-nucleotide ribosomal RNA is filed under the name uncultured bacterium. RNAcentral describes it as "partial 16S ribosomal RNA". It matches the Rfam family "Bacterial small subunit ribosomal RNA", at positions 338 to 795 of the family's 1533-position model. The record is from RNAcentral.